This 325-nucleotide ribosomal RNA is filed under the name Isochrysis galbana. RNAcentral's name for it is "partial Bacterial large subunit ribosomal RNA". It matches the Rfam family "Bacterial large subunit ribosomal RNA", at positions 1272 to 1702 of the family's 2925-position model. The record is from RNAcentral. Lineage: Eukaryota; Haptophyta; Isochrysidales; Isochrysidaceae.
GCUGGAGAUAUCGGAAGUGAGAAUGCUGACAUGAGUAACGAGAUGAGUGUGAGAAACACUCACGCCGAAAGUCCAAGGGUUCCUGCUUAAAGCUAAUCUGAGCAGGGUGAGCCGGCCCCUAAGCCGAGGCAGAGAUGCGUAGGUGAUGGGAACGAGGUUAAUAUUCCUCGGCCUGGAGAUGAGUGACGGAUUGUGAACUGUGUUCCUCCUUAAUGGAUUGGAGGGGCGCUGCAGCAGUCCCAGGAAAUAGCCUCUCCAUAUAGACCGUACCCCAAACCGACACAGGUGGAUGAGUAGAGUAUACUAAGGCGCUUGAGAGAACGAU